GUACAAAUUGGGUUACGACCAAAAAGCUCGCCAAAAUUUUGCAUCUGUUCACGACCACACACUCGGGUGACGAACAAGCCAGUUUCCCUUCUGGUUCAUAUGCGCCGAUGAUUUCCGCACGUGUUCAGUCUCUCCCUGUGCAUUCUCUAGAGAGAGGGCUGGCCGCGUAAGACCGAGAAGGCAGUUAAAGAAUGUACCGGGCUUGUUUUUAAAGAGACUGAUUCGAGCAUUGUUUUAACCUCGUUGUAUUUAAUGAAGACUUUUUUCUAUUGUAUUUUAACCUCCACUUAACUUCUGUUUACAGCAAUCGGUUUGUAGCGUGCAUUGUUGCAAUGUUACUUUUCUUGGUUGUUUAUUAAAUUACGGAUUUUUCAAAUGUUCAUGUUUUUCCCUGUGCUUAAAACUCAUUAAAUAAAAAGUGUUUACAGCGAGCAGUUCGUAAGGCUAUAGCGUGAAUUCUUGCAAUGUUACUUUUCUCUGUUUUCUCAGUAUUAUUCAAUGUUUUUACAUUUAGUUUACUAUUACGCUGUGCAUUCUAUGGUAUGAUUAACUAUUUUUGUGCUUAAAAAUGUUUAAAAAAAUAUAUUUACAUACAGUUCGUAAGGUCUGGAAUGGAUUAA
Erpetoichthys calabaricus (reedfish) is the source of this 620-nucleotide long non-coding RNA. RefSeq lists it as uncharacterized. Lineage: Eukaryota; Metazoa; Chordata; Cladistia; Polypteriformes; Polypteridae. The record is from RefSeq and is a predicted model, not a curated record. The transcript is spliced from 3 exons.